This 132-nucleotide small RNA is filed under the name Klebsiella pneumoniae. Its description in RNAcentral is "RtT sRNA". It matches the Rfam family "RtT RNA". Rfam says of the family: This family represents a bacterial cis-regulatory element known as RtT RNA. The exact function of RtT is unknown although it is thought that it may be involved in changing the cellular response in relation to amino acid starvation. Lineage: Bacteria; Pseudomonadati; Pseudomonadota; Gammaproteobacteria; Enterobacterales; Enterobacteriaceae. The record is from RNAcentral.
UAUUCUGCCCCACGGGGAAGGAUGAGAAGCUUCGACUAAGGUUCGACUCGAGCGAAGCGAGAGAACGUUGCCGCAGGCAAAGGCCCGAAGGGCGAGGCGCUUUAGCGCCGAGUAAUCCUUCCCCCACCACCA